Molecule: ribosomal RNA, 465 nt
Filed under: uncultured Klebsiella sp.
Lineage: Bacteria; Pseudomonadati; Pseudomonadota; Gammaproteobacteria; Enterobacterales; Enterobacteriaceae
Description: bacterial SSU rRNA
Rfam family: Bacterial small subunit ribosomal RNA
Source: RNAcentral
CCUACGGGUGGCAGCAGUGGGGAAUAUUGCACAAUGGGCGCAAGCCUGAUGCAGCCAUGCCGCGUGUGUGAAGAAGGCCUUCGGGUUGUAAAGCACUUUCAGCGGGGGGGAAGGCGGUGAGGUUAAUAACCUCAUCGAUUGACGUUACCCGCAGAAGAAGCACCGGCUAACUCCGUGCCGGCAGCCGCGGUAAUACGGAGGGUGCAAGCGUUAAUCGGAAUUACUGGGCGUAAAGCGCACGCAGGCGGCCUGUCAAGUCGGAUGUGAAAUCCCCGGGCUCAACCUGGGAACUGCAUUCGAAACUGGCAGGCUAGAGUCUUGUAGAGGGGGGUAGAAUUCCAGGUGUAGCGGUGAAAUGCGUAGAGAUCUGGAGGAAUACCGGUGGCGAAGGCGGCCCCCUGGACAAAGACUGACGCUCAGGUGCGAAAGCGUGGGGAGCAAACAGGAUUAGAUACCCCGGUAGUC